AAGACCUUGCACUUUUGGAGCGGCCGAUGUCUGAUUAGCUAGUUGGUGGGGUAAUGGCCUACCAAAGCUUCGAUCAGUAGCUGGUCUGAGAGGACGGCCAGCCACACUGGGACUGAGACACGGCCCAGACUCCUACGGGAGGCAGCAGUGGGGAAUUUUGGACAAUGGGCGCAAGCCUGAUCCAGCCAUGCCGCGUGAGUGAAGAAGGCCUUCGGGUUGUAAAGCUCUUUCAGCCGGGAAGAAAAGGUUGCGAUUAAUAAUCGCAAUUUAUGACGGUACCGGAAGAAGAAGCACCGGCUAACUACGUGCCAGCAGCCGCGGUAAUACGUAGGGUGCGAGCGUUAAUCGGAAUUACUGGGCGUAAAGGGUGCGCAGGCGGUUUUGUAAGUCAGAUGUGAAAUCCCCGGGCUUAACCUGGGAGCU
Molecule: ribosomal RNA, 423 nt
Filed under: uncultured bacterium
Lineage: Bacteria
Description: bacterial SSU rRNA
Rfam family: Bacterial small subunit ribosomal RNA
Source: RNAcentral